AUGACGUCAAGUCAGCAUGGCCUUUAUAUCCUGGGCUACACACACGCUACAAUGGGAAGGGACAAUAGGUUGCGAAGCCGCGAGGCGGAGCCAAUCCAGCAAAACUUCCCUCAGUUCAGAUUGCAGGCUGCAACCCGCCUGCAUGAAGUUGGAGUUGCUAGUAAACGCAGGUCAGCCAUACUGCGUUGAAUACGUUCCCGGGGCUUU
RNAcentral lists this ribosomal RNA (207 nucleotides) under uncultured Anaerolineaceae bacterium. Its description in RNAcentral is "partial 16S ribosomal RNA". It matches the Rfam family "Bacterial small subunit ribosomal RNA", at positions 1179 to 1382 of the family's 1533-position model. The record is from RNAcentral. Lineage: Bacteria; Bacillati; Chloroflexota; Anaerolineae; Anaerolineales; Anaerolineaceae.